AGGGGAGGCCGGCUUCAAAGCCUCUCUCAGCCUGUGGAAAAGCGCAGUCUGGAGUGGGGUGGCUGCCAAGUCUGCUGCAUGAAUGUUCAUUUUACUUGGCUUGUGGUCAAACAACAGCAAAAAACCAGGUUAGGGGGUGACGAGGGAGUUAAACGAAAGGCUCUGGCAUCAGCACAGAAAGAACAGUGAAGAUUUACUAAGCUGGCCUUGGAGGGAUGUGUGAGCUGCCCGCAGAAGUUUCAAAGCCACUGGAUGAAAUGAAGGGUGAAAGAUAUUUUUACAAACAGGCAUAGUUAUCCCAUCUUGCUGUAACCCUCCCUCUGUGAGUUUUUUCUCUCUGGGGAGAUGUUAACGGGGCAGGAUUCCAGUUUAGAGGAGAAGGGGAGUCCUCGGCAGCAGCCUGCUCUGUCCUGGAUCGGCCAAGUGGAUUCCUCUGUGGGAGAGAGAGGAGUCCAGUUUCUAUGACGAUCCACAGCUGCUCUGCCAAGACUGCCAGCCGAGGUCCCUGGCGGUGCUAAUUGCUAUGCGGACAUCCGUUCAUUAGACUUUGACCUAGAAUUACCAUCAUCUUUCACAAG
This 578-nucleotide long non-coding RNA is filed under the name Equus caballus (horse). RNAcentral's name for it is "lncRNA (ENSECAG00000033660.3)". Lineage: Eukaryota; Metazoa; Chordata; Mammalia; Perissodactyla; Equidae. The record is from RNAcentral.